Molecule: ribosomal RNA, 1519 nt
Filed under: marine metagenome
Description: bacterial LSU rRNA
Rfam family: Archaeal large subunit ribosomal RNA
Source: RNAcentral
GGUUAAUAUUCCUUUACUAUUCAAGUAUGCGUGGCGACACAAGCUUCAUUCCCGACAUUUCCGAUUAAGCUAACACAAAUCUUCGUUUGUGUCAACCGGAAUGAAUCAGAGGAGUAUUAUAAUAAUGAGAAUCUGAUUAAAUCUGGGAUGAGUAUCCUCAUGGGAUAUUUAGCUGAUAUCCGGAAUCCGUGAAAAGGGAAUAGAGAAAGAACUUGAAUAUUCGUACCAAGAACCAGCACAGGUGCCCCAAGGUGAGAAGCCUAAAGUGUGAAGGAUUAAUCUAAUUGAGGGAAUUCGGCAAAUUAGCCCCGUACCUUCGGUAUAAGGGGUGCCUGCUAUUUUUGCGAGAAGCAGGGAUAGCAGGUCGCAGUGACAAGGGGGUCCCGACUGUUUAAUAAAAACACAGGAAGCUGCUAGCCCGAAAGGGUGUGUAUAGCUUUUGAAUCCUGGCCAGCAACGGUACCUAAAACCUGGGUUCAACUGGGCUAAGGGCCGUUUAGCGCCGGGGGUAACUCUGACCCUCUUAAGGUAGCCAAAUGCCUUGUCGGGUAAGUUCCGACGUGCAUGAAUGGAACAACGAGGGCCCUACUGUCCCCGUCUACUACCCGGCGAACCCACGUAACGUGGACGAACAGUCCACGAACUUCUAUCGGGAAGAGAAGACCCUGUGGAGCUUUACUGCAGCUUGUUGUUGUGAUACGACUAUGAUUGCAGAGUGUAGCUGGGAGCUGUUAUGCACAUACUUUUGGGUAUGUGAUAGGCGAAAGUGUAACACCAGCCUCUCAUAGUUUUACCGCUAACCGGGAGACCGGGACACCGGCAGGUGGGCAGUUUGGCUGGGGCGGCACCCCCUUGAAAAAAUAUCGAGGGGGCCCAAAGGUCGGCUCAGGUGGGACAGAAAUCCACCGUAGAGGGCAAGGCUAAAAGCCGGCCUGACUGGGUUCUCAAAAGCACAGAACCCAGGAGCGAAAGCUUGGCCUAGCGAUCCUCCAGGUCCCCACUGUUGGGGGCUGAAGGUGACAGAAAAGUUACCCCAGGGAUAACAGGCUUGUCGCGGGUGAGAGCUCAAAUCGACCCCGCGGAUUGGUACCUCGAUGUCGGCUCUUCCCAUCCUGGUCCUGCAGCAGGGGCCAAGGGUGGGGCUGCUCGCCCAUCAAAGGGGAACGUGAGCUGGGUUUAGACCGUCGUGAGACAGGUCGGCCUCUAUCUGAUAGAAGCGAUGGCCGUCUGAGGGGAAGUUGUCCUCAGUACGAGAGGAACAGGGCAACGUAGCCUCUGGCGUACCGGUUGUCUGAUAAGGCAGUUGCCGGGCAGCUAAGCUAUUGAGGAUAAGAGCUGAAAGCAUCUAAGCUCGAAGCCUCUCCUGAGAAUAGACCGCCUUCCACAUUUCUACUUCUUUCGGGAAGUAGGUGUGGACAAGAGCUGGGAAAGAAGAUCCCGUUGAUGGGGCAGAGGUGUAAUCUGAAAGGCUUCGGCCGAUCAGUUCAGCCUGCUGCUCCCAAUCGCUCAAGGUGUCAGA